Molecule: ribosomal RNA, 254 nt
Filed under: uncultured bacterium
Lineage: Bacteria
Description: partial 16S ribosomal RNA
Rfam family: Bacterial small subunit ribosomal RNA
Source: RNAcentral
UACAGAGGGUGCAAGCGUUGUUCGGAAUUAUUGGGCGUAAAGCGCGUGUAGGCGGCUUGGUAAGUCGGGUGUGAAAUCCCUCAGCUCAACUGAGGAAGUGCGCCCGAAACUACUUUGCUUGAGUGCCGGAGAGGAUGGCGGAAUUCCCCAAGUAGAGGUGAAAUUCGUAGAUAUGCGGAGGAACACCGAUGGCGAAGGCAGCCUUCUGGGCCAACACGUGACGCUCAUGCACGAAAGCGUGGGGAGCAAACAGG